RNAcentral lists this transfer RNA (70 nucleotides) under Downesia tarsata. RNAcentral's name for it is "tRNA-Lys". Lineage: Eukaryota; Metazoa; Arthropoda; Insecta; Coleoptera; Chrysomelidae. The record is from RNAcentral.
CAUUAGAUGGCUGAAAGUAAGCAUUGGAAUUUUAAACCAAUUAUAAUAUAUUAACAUAUAUUUCUAAUGA